GCAUAUCAAUAAGCGGAGGAAAAGAAACUAACAAGGAUUCCCCUAGUAACGGCGAGUGAAGAGGGAAGAGCCCAAGAUUGAAAGCUGGCGUCUUCGGCGUCCGCAUUGUAAUCUCAAGAAGUGUUUUCCGCUUCGGACCAUGCCUAAGUCCCUUGGAAAAGGGCAUCAUAGAGGGUGAGAAUCCCGUACAUGGCAUGGAGCGCCCGAGGCUUUGUGAUACGCUUUCUAAGAGUCGAGUUGUUUGGGAAUGCAGCUCAAAAUGGGUGGUAAAUGCCAUCUAAGGCUAAAUAUUGGGGAGAGACCGAUAGCGAACAAGUACAGUGAUGGAAAGAUGAAAAGAACUUUGAAAAGAGAGUUAAACAGUACGUGAAAUUGCCAAAAGGGAAGGGUAGGAGGUCAGAGAUGCGUCUUGGGAUUCAGCCUUGCAUUUUUUGUUUGGUGUUUUUCCCAAGUUUGCAGGCCAACGUCGGUUUUGGGCACUGGAGAAGGGUGGAAGGAACGUGGCACCUCUCGGGGUGUGUUAUAGCCUUCUACUGGAUACAGCGACCGAGACCGAGGACAGCAGCGUACUCGCAAGAGCGGGCCUUCGGGCACCUUUACGCUUAGGGCGUUGGCAUAAUGGCCCUCUACCACCCGUCUUGAAACACGGACCAAGGAGUCUAACAUGUAUGCGAGUCUUUGGGUGGCAAACCCAUAGGCGCAAUGAAAGUGAAUUCAGGUGGGAUCCGCAAGGUGCACCAUCGACCGAUCCUCACGUCUUUUUAAGUCGUGGAUUUGAGUAAGAGCAUACCUGUUGGGACCCGAAAGAUGGUGAACUAUGCCUGAAUAGGGUGAAGCCAGAGGAAACUCUGGUGGAGGCUCGUAGCGGUUCUGACGUGCAAAUCGAUCGUCAAAUUUGGGUAUAGGGGCGAAAGACUAAUCGAACCAUCUAGUAGCUGGUUCCUGCCGA
Molecule: ribosomal RNA, 949 nt
Filed under: Sphacelotheca destruens
Lineage: Eukaryota; Fungi; Basidiomycota; Microbotryomycetes; Microbotryales; Microbotryaceae
Description: LSU rRNA
Rfam family: Eukaryotic large subunit ribosomal RNA
Source: RNAcentral